GAGGCGAACCGGGGGAACUGAAACAUCUAAGUACCCCGAGGAAAAGAAAUCAACCGAGAUUCCCCCAGUAGCGGCGAGCGAACGGGGAGCAGCCCAGAGCCUGAAUCAGCAUGUGUGUUAGUGGAACGGUCUGGAAAGGCCGGCGAUACAGGGUGACAGCCCCGUACACAAAAGUGCAUAUGUUGUGAGCUCGAUGAGUAGGGCGGGACACGUGGUAUCCUGUCUGAAUAUGGGGGGACCAUCCUCCAAGGCUAAAUACUCCUGACUGACCGAUAGUGAACCAGUACCGUGAGGGAAAGGCGAAAAGAACCCCGGCGAGGGGAGUGAAAAAGAACCUGAAACCGUGUACGUACAAGCAGUGGGAGCCUC
Molecule: ribosomal RNA, 369 nt
Filed under: Citrobacter sp. Ct235
Lineage: Bacteria; Pseudomonadati; Pseudomonadota; Gammaproteobacteria; Enterobacterales; Enterobacteriaceae
Description: partial 23S ribosomal RNA
Rfam family: Bacterial large subunit ribosomal RNA
Source: RNAcentral